This is a long non-coding RNA of Dendrobium catenatum, 461 nucleotides long. RefSeq lists it as uncharacterized. The transcript has 3 exons. NCBI's taxonomy places the organism in Eukaryota, Viridiplantae, Streptophyta, Magnoliopsida, Asparagales, Orchidaceae. The record is from RefSeq and is a predicted model, not a curated record.
UGUAUAGUUCGGCUGCUGUGGAGGGAGGUUUUUGGCCACAGUUGACUGGAAGGAAAUUCAGUGAAAAUAGUGCAAUUCAUUUUGCUGUGCAGUGAAGUGUGUGGGAAGAAGAUUAUGUGAAAUACAAAAUUUAGUGAUGGAAGGUGCAAACUAAUUGAGGAAUCAGUGAAGGAAGGUUAAGAGAGAAGUUAGGAAUUAUCAGACACAUACAUGCAAAGAGAACGUUUUGGAGUGACUUACAAUCGUAGAAGAGUCCGUAGAAAGGAAUUGGAAGAGACAACUUGGCAAGGAGGUAACUAAUGCAAAUUAAAGUUUUAAAUGUAAUUAUUGUUAAUUUUACAUUGUAUAUUGGCAUUUGAAUGAAUGCAAGAGAAAGAUGCAUUACAAGUAAUUCUCAUGCUAAAGGAUAUUCCUAACUUGGUUCCAUAUAUGAAAGACCUCUUAUAUAUUUGAAUCAUGAG